UUUGUUCUCUGUCAAAAAGAGUCUCUUAGGGUUUGUUUCCCUCUCUGUCUUUUUUCCCCCCCAGGGGAUUUUUAAAAAGUAGCCCAAUGCUAUCAUUUCCUUGAAACUUAAUGUCCUUUCCUGUGGAUCAAAAUCCUUUUUCAUACCUCUGGAGAAGUAAACCUCUCCAACCACUUUCAUACAAACUCCGCCCUCAAUGUGCAGGGAAGUUGUUCCCCAUCAAAGCCCCUAAAAGACUUGGUCUUCCUGCUCAUUGGAGCCCGAGUGACCUGGCCCAGGAGCUAUCCCGUCUGGCACCGUCAUAUACACAGGAGCCUCAAAUCUGUGCUCUGUGUUCUUAGGAUACAUUUCAACUUCUUUAUCACUCUUGGUCACCAUGAAUUUCCUUCAGGUCAUGACCUCCCCAGGAUUGUCUAAAUGUAUAGUCAUCACUGAGUGCUUAAGAAGUCAUAGUCAAAAGGCCAAGUAGUUUGAGUAUUUGUCAUUUUUUUUCACGGAUCUUUACAUACUAUUUAAAAAAUAGCAAUAAGUCACUCUUUAUUACUGAUAUUGCACUUCUUAAAUUUGCGUACUAAAGACUAACAGGAACAGACAUUUCUCAUGAGGAAUGAAUACUUGAAAUGUACUUGGCAGUAAGCAUAUGAGAAAACAGUCAAUGACAUCAUAGAUGCAUUGCAUCUGGUCACAAAUACCAGUGACAUAACUUACAAUAACCUUUUGCUUAUUGAAAAUUGCCCAGACUCCUGCUGUACUGUUCCUUUGGAAAAGCUGCUUGGUAUGUAGUGUUUAAUUCAGUAUUUUAAAGCCACCCUUUUGUAGGCCCGUUCCACUUUAGUGAAAGUUACAACGCCUUGUGUGUGUUAGUUUAAGAAAAAAAGCAAAGUUUAUCGCCUGCCUCUCUCUCUUUCAGUAUCAGAAUAUUAGUAUUUUUAGGUGAAUAAAAUAGCAUAUUUUAGAGAUCUGUAGAGGGUAAGCUUGAAUGUGUUGUUAAUUUCAUGUGCCGUCAGGGUGAAUAGAUAUUAAAAGGAAUAAUUUGAUGAAAACAUCCAUGCUUUAGUAUUAUAAUUAUUUUAACAAUGAUGAAGUUUUCUCCUUCUCUGCCACUUUUUUUGGUAUUAUGGAAUAUUCACAAUUUGAGAGAAAUCACUCCAUCACUAGAGUCAUCUUAUCUACAACCCCUAAGCGAAUUGCUUUUCCCACUAUCUAAUUUAUCCAAAGAACAUCUCCCUGGUCAGUAUUACAAGCCAUUUUUAUUAUUUUCCUACACUUGUUUAUUAAGCAUUUUGCACGUCAUGUUUUGUCACCAGGAAAGGAAAAGUCACAUCCAAUUUUUUCUUUCUUUUUUUCCUCUCCUGCUCUAUUAUAAGAUUGAAAGCCUAAAGAACGAGAGUUCAAAUCUUGCUUGAAAUAUAGACACAUUAUUCUCAACCAGAGAAAUUCUGGAUUUACGUUUCAUUUUCUUGGGGAAAAAUUACUUUAAUUCAAUUUUGGAAAAACCCACACAUUUUACAUGUGUGACCCAUAAAUUUGUCCCUUGAUUCCAUUUAGGUGUUUGGCAAGAGUUCACAGAUUUUGCCAACAACUCUCAAAGAACUGCUUUAAUGGUCUAAUUGUUACAAUUUGGUAAUUAGCUAGAGUCGCAUUGCAAAGUGUGACCGAUAAGAUUUGGCAGAGUUAGCCAGUAUUUCAGAAAAUGGACUAGAGUCAUAGAGAUGCUACUAUUGUUCUUGUCUUCACGUUUAUACUUUUACUUUGGACUCCUGAGACGUACGGCUUUUGUGACUCUGCCACAACCUACUAUUCCCAACACAUCCCUGACAGCUGCAAGCAUCUUUGGGGAAGUGUCCCCUCAAGUUCCUGUUUCCAGUCAUUAAUGCAAAAGAAAGAAAAACGCUAGAGGCACUGAGAACCAUCCAACGCUUCAGCUGGCUUCAGCAAUUGCCACUUGCGCAAGACCCGUGUUUGUGAAAGCAACCCAAGAAUCUUUGAACAGGAUGUAAUCAACCUCCGAUCUGCUGAGAAACACUGCAAAAAUGACUUCCCCUGCCAAAAAUAAUAAUGUCGUUUAUGAGCAGCCCUUCCAUGUCUAAGGAAGAAGUAGCCCCACGUGUGAGUUUCUGCUGGCUUCAGAGGAGCAGGCGAAGAAAAGGGCAAAUCCUACCAACCCCAGCCUAAAAUACACGGCAUCAGAACGCACGGCAAGCUGUGGCUCAUUCCAAAGGUGCUGGCAAUACCCAGGAAGACUCCUAUCCGCAAAAAUCCAAAGGAGUGAACCUGAAGACUGAAACUGCAGCCGCUGUGUGGUGACCCGGAGGGGACAAGGGAGAGGACAAAGGCCCAUGAGUCUUUUCAUCCUGCAUGUGCAAUUUUAACCAUGAUGGAAGGAGAGACUCUCUGGUCCAAAAAACUCAACAUAUUUCUUAUCCACAGACACAGGUAAGUGGAAACAACCGUUCUUCCGUGUCGGCAUUAGUCAUUGUGAUCUGUUUUUAACUUGUUGCAGAGUCAAAUAACACUGGUACGUGUCAUAAAAUGUCUCCAAAUAUUCCUGGGCUUGUUCAUUUGCUUCAAGCACAUAAAGAGGCAAAUGUUAAAGCAAUGGGUUCUGAUCAAGAAACAGCUGGAAAUGGCAGCUGCCUGAUACGGAGCAAUCAAGAACGGAAGGUUUAUUUUGGACGAGAGGUGUUGUCCAACUGUGAGACUGAGUGAUUGCAGCUGAGAAUUAAGUGCAAACACAAUCAAUAGUGGCUCCAGGUCUGAACUCAUUGAGAACCUGUCUCGUGUCACGUCUUUUUCUGCUGCCACAGUCACACUACAUCCGUAGACGCCGAUACUAUCCGUGGAGGAGGUAAAAAGUUCUUCAGUUUAUUCUUAUUCUUAAGGACAGCUUCUGAGCCGUCAUGAUUUGAAAUUACAAUGACCAAAAGGCUCCUUCAGAAAAAAAAGAAACAAUAUAUUCCAAAGUCAAAUUGUACAACGGGCAGGUAAGAAUGCUUCAACUUUAAAUGGUCUUGGGUGGGCAUUGCCUCAAGAGCCAGCCAAGUCGUUCUCUGCUUUCUGGAGUUGUAUGACUAUGGGCGAAGUGAUUUCAUUCUUCCCGCUCCCUAACAGUGUUGUUAUUUUAUCGACACAGACCGUAGAAGCAGCUCAAUAAAUAUUUUCUGUUGAACAAUCUA
Molecule: long non-coding RNA, 3176 nt
Organism: Leopardus geoffroyi (Geoffroy's cat)
Lineage: Eukaryota; Metazoa; Chordata; Mammalia; Carnivora; Felidae
Exons: 3
Source: RefSeq, a predicted model, not a curated record